RNAcentral lists this ribosomal RNA (253 nucleotides) under uncultured bacterium. Its description in RNAcentral is "partial 16S ribosomal RNA". It matches the Rfam family "Bacterial small subunit ribosomal RNA", at positions 524 to 776 of the family's 1533-position model. The record is from RNAcentral.
UACAGAGGUCUCAAGCGUUGUUCGGAUUCAUUGGGCGUAAAGGGUGCGUAGGUGGCGCCGUAAGUCGGGUGUGAAAUUUCGGAGCUUAACUCCGAAACUGCAUUCGAUACUGCGGUGCUUGAGGACUGGAGAGGAGACUGGAAUUCAUGGUGUAGCAGUGAAAUGCGUAGAGAUCAUGAGGAAGACCAGUGGCGAAGGCGGGUCUCUGGGCUGACACUGACGCUCAUGCACGAAAGCGUGGGGAGCAAACAGG